AAUGUCAAUGCUUAUGGGCAGAAGGAAGAAGGGCCUAGCCGAUGGCAAGAGAAAAGGGAAGCCAAACGGCAGAUGUACUUGAUGAGUACAGAAAAACAAGUGAUAUUGGGUGAAAGAAAAGACCUUAAGUCUACAAUGUCCGCUGUUGGUGGUACCGCUCAGUGUCAGAAAUGUUUUCAAACUGGACACUGGACUUUUGAGUGCAAGAAUGAAAGAGUUUAUAUGUCACGACCUUCGAGGACACAGCAGCUUAAGAACCCUAAAUUGAGGAUGAAACUCCCUCCUCUCUCUUAUGAGUUGGAUAACCCGGAUGCUAAGGAGCAGAAGGGUAAAGCAUCUAAGAAAAGCAAGAGGAAGCAUAGAUCAGAUUCUCAUUCUGGCAGUGAUAGUGAGGCUUCGGUUUUUGAGAG
This 410-nucleotide unclassified non-coding RNA is filed under the name Hevea brasiliensis (rubber tree). The record is from RNAcentral. Lineage: Eukaryota; Viridiplantae; Streptophyta; Magnoliopsida; Malpighiales; Euphorbiaceae.